UACGUAGGGUGCAAGCGUUGUCCGGAAUUAUUGGGCGUAAAGAGCUCGUAGGCGGUUUGUCGCGUCGAAUGUGAAAACCCGGGGCUCAACCCCGGGCCUGCAUUCGAUACGGGCAGACUAGAGUUCGGUAGGGGAGUCUGGAAUUCCUGGUGUAGCGGUGAAAUGCGCAGAUAUCAGGAGGAACACCGGUGGCGAAGGCGGGUCUCUGGGCAGUAACUGACGCUGAGGAGCGAAAGCGUGGGGAGCGAACAGG
This 253-nucleotide ribosomal RNA is filed under the name uncultured bacterium. RNAcentral's name for it is "partial 16S ribosomal RNA". It matches the Rfam family "Bacterial small subunit ribosomal RNA", at positions 524 to 776 of the family's 1533-position model. The record is from RNAcentral.